AAUUUGCUGAAGUAGACCGUAAUCCUAGUGAUUCUUUUGACUGAUCUCGGAACCAAGAGACCCCUACUGGGGGGUCUAAAUCUUCAUAUGGAACCGUGACUCGUGGAUUCGGCAUGGACGGUUUGUGGACAGCGGUAUCCUCAAGAAAUGAACGUGCUCGAGUUAAACAUCAACAGAAAGGAAAAGGGAAAGUAAUCGGUGACUGACUCAUUUGUUUCCACUUAAUUUUAAGACUGCUGCGUUUCGUUGGUGAUUGUGAUGUGCCACUCAUAGCUUUAUAGAUGGAGUCCCUUCCCUCAAUGAUUGGAGUUUUAAUUCAAAAUCAUUGGUUCUACCCAGAAAAUGCUUCUUCUCCACUUAGAUGAAGAUGAGGAAGCGCUAUUGCCAGCCCUGGUCCCCCUCCCCAGGAGGAGAAAGUAUGACAAUCUUUGGCUGCCAUUCAAUUGGAUUAAUCUGAUCUGUGCCCUCACAUUUAUAGUGUGGUCAUGGAAUGACCAAAGAGGGGAGAUGAUGAUCUAAAAUCUAGAUUUAAGCUGUUGUCAGGAGUAACAAAUCUAUGCAAGCUUUUAUUAAUAACAAAAUGGAUUUUUAAUAUAAAAUAACAAAAAUGGCUUCAGGAUUGAUAUCGUGCUAAAAUGGUUGAAAGCUGCAUUCCUGCUUUGCUGAGCUGGCUGAAUUAAAAGAUAAAGCAGACAAUGAAGUCUUCAUAAAAUGAAUCAUAAAACAUUAAGUGACCACCCUGACUAACCUUGAACCACAAGCAUGAGACAUAAUGUGCAUAAGACAAUACUGUUUCUCAGGAAAUAUCAUUUGGAUUAACCUGCUGUCCAUUAUGUCACCUUUUAUAUUUAAUUGGUUUUCCUUUGUAAUUGAGGUUAUACUGUUUCUUAAGAACAUAUAAAAAUGGCUUAUUGUUCAAAUUCAAUUGUGCAGUUUCUCCAAAGAACACAGAAACUGUUAACCUCUGUGUUGCUGGACAAACCUGUGCUCGACGUUGUA
Non-coding RNA from Chiloscyllium plagiosum (whitespotted bambooshark), 999 nucleotides. Lineage: Eukaryota; Metazoa; Chordata; Chondrichthyes; Orectolobiformes; Hemiscylliidae. The record is from RefSeq and is a predicted model, not a curated record.